GGAUAGCUCAGUUGGUUAGAGCAUGGUGCUAAUAACCCCAAGGUUGCAGGUUUGAUCCCCGUAUGGAAUAGCUGCA
Molecule: transfer RNA, 76 nt
Filed under: Podarcis lilfordi (Lilford's wall lizard)
Lineage: Eukaryota; Metazoa; Chordata; Lepidosauria; Squamata; Lacertidae
Description: tRNA.Ile
Rfam family: tRNA (bases 4-62)
About the family: Transfer RNA (tRNA) molecules are approximately 80 nucleotides in length. Their secondary structure includes four short double-helical elements and three loops (D, anti-codon, and T loops). Further hydrogen bonds mediate the characteristic L-shaped molecular structure. tRNAs have two regions of fundamental functional importance: the anti-codon, which is responsible for specific mRNA codon recognition, and the 3' end, to which the tRNAs corresponding amino acid is attached (by aminoacyl-tRNA synthetases). tRNAs cope with the degeneracy of the genetic code in two manners: having more than one tRNA (with a specific anti-codon) for a particular amino acid; and 'wobble' base-pairing, i.e. permitting non-standard base-pairing at the 3rd anti-codon position.
Source: RNAcentral